This 333-nucleotide ribosomal RNA is filed under the name uncultured eukaryote. Its description in RNAcentral is "partial 18S ribosomal RNA". It matches the Rfam family "Eukaryotic small subunit ribosomal RNA", at positions 1470 to 1796 of the family's 1831-position model. The record is from RNAcentral.
CCCUUAGAUGUUCUGGGCUGCACGCGCGCUACACUGAAGCGUUCAACGAGUAUUCACCUUGCCCGGGAGGGUUGGGUAAUCUUUUCAAAACGCUUCGUGAUGGGGAUAGAUUAUUGCAAUUAUUAAUCUUCAACGAGGAAUUCCUAGUAAGCGCGAGUCAUCAGCUCGCGCUGAUUACGUCCCUGCCCUUUGUACACACCGCCCGUCGCUACUACCGAUUGGAUGGUUUAGCGAGAACUUUGGACCGGAGCUCGGGUGGUCAGCAAUGGCCGCCCGAGACAUACUGGGAAAUCGCUCCAGCUUGAUCAUCUAGAGGAAGUAAAAGUCGUAACA